AUACGGAGGGUGCAAGCGUUGUUCGGAAUCACUGGGCGUAAAGGGCGCGCAGGCGGUUUGGUAAGUCAGAUGUGAAAGCCCAUGGCUCAACCAUGGAAGUGCAUUCGAAACUGUCAGACUUGAGUACUAGAGGGGAAAGUGGAAUUCCCGGUGUAGAGGUGAAAUUCGUAGAUAUCGGGAGGAAUACCGGUGGCGAAGGCGACUUUCUGGCUAGAUACUGACGCUGAGGCGCGAAAGCGUGGGGAGCAAACAGGAUUAGAAACCCUUGUAGUCC
RNAcentral lists this ribosomal RNA (274 nucleotides) under uncultured bacterium. Its description in RNAcentral is "partial 16S ribosomal RNA". It matches the Rfam family "Bacterial small subunit ribosomal RNA", at positions 523 to 796 of the family's 1533-position model. The record is from RNAcentral.